UGAAAAUGGAUAGGUAACAGUCCAAGACCAUCAUCUGCAGUGCAGGAUGACUGCAACUCACCCAGAUCAGCAUUACUGAGAGCAGAAAGCCAUAGUCUCUGUUUUCAUAAUGCAAACAGGUUUUAUUUAGCAGAUAGAGGUCACAAAAGCUGGGGGUUUUCUGUGUUCUUACUGUGCACAGAACCACACUUUACCAUAACUAAAAUAGUUUUACUUCUAUGCUUGACAGCAAUGAAGGAAGUUGCAUGCUGAUAAAGACUUUCUUAAACAACAAGAAAACUAUUCAACCUAUAUCAGGGCUACAGAUGCUGAACAUACUUUCUCCUAUUAAUUAGAUAAGCUGCAAAUAAACAGUUUCAUAGGUAGAGCUGAUAAGACAGGCCUAUCCUAUAGCUUUUAUAAGUGCUUCUCAACGCAAUUCAAUGAUGCCAGAAGUAUUUGCAUUGCAUUAAGUCUGUACAUGAAAGAAGAAAAAAAAAACCUGCUGUGAUAUCUACAAAUGCUGGUAUAUGCUCUGUGGAUGCAGAUAUCCACACAGGAUAUGCCUACCUGCAUGGAUUUUCCAGUCUGUCUUUGAACCUCAUUUAACGCUACUUAACCAUGACACCAGCAGUUCUCCAGAUGCUGUAGAUUACAGGUAUUAUUUUCCCUGUAUGUAUCACAGGCAAGGAUGUAUCACAGCGCAGGAUGAUGCUGAUAACUUCACUCUAUAUUUCUUGGGGUUCUUUUGUAGUAUUAUCUGACCAUAAUUCUACCUUAAAUAUUUUUACUUCUAAACAUUGUAUAAAGCACAAAGGAAUCAUAGGAGUUAUGCCUUCUGCUUCACCUUUUAAAAUAAAGCUUCACCCUCGACUAGUUUUUUCCAGCAGAGUUAGUUAGUGGAAAAAAGCCUGAGAUUUUAGGCAGUAAUCCUGGUUUCAUGCAUAUCAAGUUGACUCUGGAGUAAUUCAACUAAAAUAAAAAGAAUCAUAUUCGUGCUACUGCUGAAUUUGAAUUAACAGUAAGGAAUAUUGCUUAAAACUGCCUGCAGACUCUUUCAGCCACAACUACUAAUAGGAAAGGAAAAGAGAACUAAGGAAACAGCUUUCAUUUUCAGAUUGAGAAGGGGUGAAUCUGUAAAUCAGAAGUGACCUUCCUUCUCCUCCCAGGUCUUUAGCUGACACCUGCACACAGCUGAUGUGAAAUCAAAGCCCAUAAAUCAUGAAAUCUCUAUGUUUGUUCAUUUAAUUUUAGAAUAGAGACAAAAGCUUUUGAAAGCAUUAUUGUAAACAAACAUGCAUCUUCACCCGGAAGCAAGGCAAAAGAGCUACCUCCUCCAAGUGUUAUGCAAAGAAAACAUUUUUGAAUAAUAUAUCUGGCUUGGUUUGCAUAAGGACAGCACUAUCCUUACCAUUAAAUGUCUACUCAGGUAUUCCCAGCACAACCUCCCCUUAAAUAUGGUGUGAACAAUUACGGAAAGAUAACACUUGCAAAGAUUUUAUGGCAUUUUCCAUUUCUAAUUAUUUGCUGAGAGUGUUAUAGACACCAAUCAAAGCAUCAGAGCCACGAGCCUCCUUUCAUUACAGUUGCAAGAGGAAACAGGAGAAAAAAGAGCUAAGUCCCCAGAAGAACAUCGACAUCCCAAAGGCAGAGCUGGGAAUGUGCUGCUGCUGCCUGGCAGGAUCCUGAGGUGUGCAAUGAAGUGACACUGCAGUGAUUCACAGCCUUGAUCGUGUUUGCUAUUGAUGGAAGCCAGGACCAUAUUAAUUGAAUUGAGCUGUACAACCCUGGACUAAGCAACACAGCCUGAGCCCUAAAGGCAGUGAGAGAAACUAAAACACUAAGGUGGAGAAGUAACCCACGUGAAGAAGAGAAGACAGUGGUUACAGAGGACUGACCUGGCAAAGCCAGCAUUGAAGCAGGAUGGAGCUCCGGGCUUGCAGAAAAAUGUAUUGCCAAAUGAAGAUGUCAAGGUGUCCAUCAUUUCUACUGGUUAGCUAGAGAAGAUCUGACACAUUGCCAUUUUUGAAGGGAGAGAUGGAGAAUAUGGCUCUCCCUGCUGAAAUAUGCUAUUUUUCUUCAGAAGGGAGUAUUACACCGGAUCUUGACAAGGAUAUUAAUGCAAAUUUCUUUGGCAAUAAUUAGGAUACCUAAUAGAGAGGAUAGAGGGUUCAUCUUCUCCCCUUACCUUUUAUUUUCAGAUCGAUCUUCUACUGGAUCUACACGAAUUAUUACUAAAAAUUAAUUCCUCAUGCUGUGCUACAGAUUCUGGAUGAAAUGGAAGAACUUCUCAAAAAUUUAUGCAUGGUCAUUUAAUGCAGCUGAUUUCUGCCCAGGAAAAUGGAGAAUAACAUAACAGUAUCCAUGUAUUUCAUUGAUUCUUAACUCUACUUGGAAAUCUUGAAGGAACAAUCUGGUUGUUCAGCCAUCAUAUAUCACCUUACUCACUUAUUUCAACAGAUCUUUUGAAUGGAUACUGGCACACCAAGUACAGAUUUUGAAAGUCCUUCUUUUCAGAUCGAAUUUUACAACACAAGUGUCAGCAUCCUUCAUGUCUGCGCACGCUGUAUUCCUAUGUGCCAAGGCUGCUCAGAUGACCCUCUGUUUCCCCUUUGAAGAAUUAUUUUGCAUUGGCAUUUGUCUCAGUGUUCACUUUUCUGCAGAACUGCAAGAUAACUAUGGAUAAAAGACCUUCCUCUGUCCUUUCGUGUUUCACUGGACUCAAGUGAAGAGCUCAGCUGCAGUCAAAGUUUAUCGUAACAAAGAAGCCUGAUUAAACAAGAGAAAUGCACCAUUUGGCAGAAUCCUUCAGCCAUUCAUAAAAGGAAGAGUCAGACAUCAUGCUUAAUGUUUUGAUCAGAAACUCUGCUUAGGUCUUUGACUUGCAUCCCUGAUGACCUUUAAAUUGCAUUUGAAUACAUUUCAAUUAUUAAGGCAGGAAAAUUACCCUGUCAGAUGGACCAAGGUCAUUAUCAAUUUACUAACAUCUCUACCUUCCUUUUUGCUGA
Long non-coding RNA from Calidris pugnax (ruff), 2987 nucleotides. RefSeq lists it as uncharacterized. Lineage: Eukaryota; Metazoa; Chordata; Aves; Charadriiformes; Scolopacidae. The record is from RefSeq and is a predicted model, not a curated record. The transcript is spliced from 3 exons.